AAUCAACGCUGGCGGCGUGCCUAACACAUGCAAGUCGAACGCGAAAGCCCCGCAAGGGGUGAGUAGAGUGGCAAACGGGUGAGUAACACGUGGGUGAUCUGCCUCAGAGUGGGGGAUAACGACCCGAAAGGGUCGCUAAUACCGCAUAACAUCCUGCGCUUGGAUGCGUGGAGAUCAAAGUUGGGGAUUCGCAAGAACCUGACGCUUAGAGAGGAGCCCCGCGGCCGAUUAGCUAGUUGGUGAGGUAACGGCUCACCAAGGCGACGAUCGGUAUCCGGCCUGAGAGGGCGGACGGGACACACUGGGACUGAGACACGGCCCAGACUCCUACGGGAGGCAGCAGUGGGGAAUUGUUCGCAAUGGGCGCAAGCCUGACGACGCAACGCCGCGUGGAGGACGAAGAUUUUCGGAUCGUAAACUCC
Molecule: ribosomal RNA, 422 nt
Filed under: uncultured bacterium
Lineage: Bacteria
Description: bacterial SSU rRNA
Rfam family: Bacterial small subunit ribosomal RNA
Source: RNAcentral